GAUGAACGCUGGCGGCGUGCCUAAUACAUGCAAGUCGAGCGAACAGACGAGGAGCUUGCUCCUCUGACGUUAGCGGCGGACGGGUGAGUAACACGUGGAUAACCUACCUAUAAGACUGGGAUAACUUCGGGAAACCGGAGCUAAUACCGGAUAAUAUAGUGAACCGCAUGGUUCAAUAGUGAAAGACGGUUUUGCUGUGACUUAUAGAUGGAUCCGCGCCGCAUUAGCUAGUUGGUAAGGUAACGGCUUACCAGGGCGACGAUGCGUAGCCGACCUGAGAGGGUGAUCGGCCACACUGGAACUGAGACACGGUCCAGACUCCUACGGGAGGCAGCAGUAGGGAAUCUUCCGCAAUGGGCGAAAGCCUGACGCAGCAACGCCGCGUGAGUGAUGAAGGUCUUCGGAUCGUAAAACUCUGUUAUUAGGGAAGAAGAAAUGUGUAAGUAACUAUGCACGUCUUGACGGUACCUACACAGAAAGCAACGGCUAACUACGUG
This 497-nucleotide ribosomal RNA is filed under the name uncultured bacterium. RNAcentral describes it as "partial 16S ribosomal RNA". It matches the Rfam family "Bacterial small subunit ribosomal RNA", at positions 28 to 507 of the family's 1533-position model. The record is from RNAcentral.